GAUGAACGCUGGCGGCGUGCUCAACCCAUGCAAGUCGAACGGAAAGGCCCAAGCUUGCUUGGGUACUCGAGUGGCGAACGGGUGAGUAACACGUGGGUGAUCUGCCCUGCACUUCGGGAUAAGCCUGGGAAACUGGGUCUAAUACCGGAUAGGACCACAUUUUGGAUGGUGUGGUGGAAAGUUUUUCGGUGUGGGAUCAGCUCGCGGCCUAUCAGCUUGUUGGUGGGGUAAUGGCCUACCAACGCGUCGACGGGUAGCCGGCCUUCGAGGGUGUACGGCCAGGUGGGGGCUGAAAGACGGCCAAGAGUCAGACGUGAGGUAUGAGGGGUGAAGAGUGCACGACUGGCAGCAGCGUGGUGAAGCGAGGCCGCGCGAGGGAGGAGGGCGUUAGGGUUGUAAACUCCGAUCGCUAGGGACAAAGCGUUUUUGUGACGUUACCUCGAGAAGAAGCACCUGCGAACUACGUG
Molecule: ribosomal RNA, 467 nt
Filed under: uncultured bacterium
Lineage: Bacteria
Description: partial 16S ribosomal RNA
Rfam family: Bacterial small subunit ribosomal RNA
Source: RNAcentral